GUAUCUCUAAUCUCAAACAUAAUUUUGUAUACUAUGUUUGAUUUUCUUUCAACAAGCCAGAAACAAAAUUAAGUACUGUGAUUAUGAUACUGAGCAUAGACUCUGCGUUCUUCGUAGGAGCGCUUACUGUGAAAGAUAACUGAUUUUCCUGAACUGCAACAGCUUUCUCCUCAAAACUCUUCAGUAAUUGAAUAUUAAAAGGAAAUAGAUUAAUUAGCUUCUGAAUAAGUAUUCCUCAGCUGCUUCAGGAACCCGACUGUAUGAUUCUGGAAACUGGCAUUCUGUACUAAUCUGCAAGAGCAAAGUAAUGCUGCAAGGAGUAACUGGCACUCAUCUGUUGUGGAACUGUGUGAUAUUGGUGUUGUUUCAUAGCAUCGGUUCAAGUUUUGCAUCACCAACUCAGCAUGUUUUAGAAAAAAGUGAGGUGGCGCCCGGCAAACUUAAAGUGAAACUGAAAGAUACGUUAGAAGCUCUUGUAAACUUCUUCGCUCCAGUGAGUAAGUGUCA
Non-coding RNA from Struthio camelus australis, 507 nucleotides. NCBI's taxonomy places the organism in Eukaryota, Metazoa, Chordata, Aves, Struthioniformes, Struthionidae. The record is from RefSeq and is a predicted model, not a curated record.